GUCGGUAAAACUCGUGCCAGCCACCGCGGUUAUACGAGAGACCCUAGUUGAUAUAUUCGGCGUAAAGAGUGGUUAUGGAAAACAAGCACUAAAGCCAAAGAGCCCUCAGGCCGUUAUACGCACCCGGGGCCUCGAACCACUAUCACGAAAGUAGCUUUACCCUCGCCCACCAGAACCCACGAGAGCUGGGACACAAACUGGGAUUAGAUACCCCACUAUG
This 220-nucleotide ribosomal RNA is filed under the name Clupea harengus (Atlantic herring). Its description in RNAcentral is "partial 12S ribosomal RNA". The record is from RNAcentral. Lineage: Eukaryota; Metazoa; Chordata; Actinopteri; Clupeiformes; Clupeidae.